This 467-nucleotide ribosomal RNA is filed under the name uncultured bacterium. RNAcentral's name for it is "partial 16S ribosomal RNA". It matches the Rfam family "Bacterial small subunit ribosomal RNA", at positions 28 to 507 of the family's 1533-position model. The record is from RNAcentral.
GACGAACGCUGGCGGCGUGCUUAACACAUGCAAGUCGAACGGAAAGGCCUCUUUCGGGGGGUACUCGAGUGGCGAACGGGUGAGUAACACGUGAGUAACCUGCCCUUGACUUUGGGAUAACUUCAGGAAACUGAGGCUAAUACCGGAUAGGAGCUCCUGCUGCAUGGCGGGGGUUGGAAAGUUUCGGCGGUUGGGGAUGGACUCGCGGCUUAUCAGCUUGUUGGUGGGGUAGUGGCUUACCAAGGCUUUGACGGGUAGCCGGCCUGAGAGGGUGACCGGCCACAUUGGGACUGAGAUACGGCCCAGACUCCUACGGGAGGCAGCAGUGGGGAAUAUUGCACAAUGGGUGGAAGCCUGAUGCAGCAACGCCGUGUGCGGGAUGACGGCCUUCGGGUUGUAAACCGCUUUCGCUCAUGACGAAGCUUUGUGUGACGGUAGUGGGUAAAGAAGCACCGGCUAACUACGUG